Long non-coding RNA from Plectropomus leopardus (leopard coralgrouper), 908 nucleotides. RefSeq lists it as uncharacterized. The record is from RefSeq and is a predicted model, not a curated record. Lineage: Eukaryota; Metazoa; Chordata; Actinopteri; Perciformes; Serranidae.
AGAUCCAGUUGCAGAUGACAGCUGAGCGCGAACACAGACAGACCUCAACAGCUCCUGAUCCACCACUGAAGCUACACUUUACCAGUUCCACAGAGCGUCACACCUGACAGAAAUGGUGUGAUUGAUUAUCAAUGCCUGCAGGUAUGUGGUACAGAAGAUCCGGGCUGCAGUGAGAGGGGAGGCACAGCCGGAGAAAACAAGCACCACAUGUCGCCAGGCUAAAGGACAAAUGGAUAGCAGGAUGAGCGCUGAUGGGUCGGCCUUGAUUCCCCAGCCGACGCAGACAGUCAACGUCCUGCGGAAGGAAGAGUGUGGAUCCUGAAAGUAAACCGAGAGCUAGAGGGUAGUGUGGAAGGCUUAUAAUAAGGAAACAAACACAUAAAAACACACACACACACACACACACACACACAUUCAGAGACAAAUACACAUUGUGGUCCAUCCUCCUUUUCCGUGGUUCUUUUUAAAUAUGAUGAAUACACCAGCAAUUCUGCACUGCCUUUUUUCAUUCUUGAUUUGUUUUUCAAAUAUCAUCUCUGCCUUGAGAUACAUAGAUUUAUUCAGUGACACAUUUGUCUGUCCCUGUUCCCUCCGCAACCUCGCCAUGCACACACUGCUAUUCAUUAAACCCAGGUAUUUAAAUCCUCAAAUGCAUUGCACUCCCACCUUCCAGCUCUCGGUUUUCUUUCCUGCUCGUCCUUCAUACAGCGGAGAGAGCAGUCUGAGUUGGCAGAGAGAAUGAAAGCUUGAUCGCCAAUUCCCCAGCAGAGGAACUGAUCAGACUGGAUGAAUGUAAAAGCCUCUGCUGAUAAAGCUGCACCAAGUCAUAUAUAUUCACAUAUUCAAAGACCUGAUCUUUAUCUCCAUCACUGUAAACCUUUCAGUAAAAAGAGCAUUGUUUAUGUGUU